Molecule: unclassified non-coding RNA, 365 nt
Filed under: soil metagenome
Description: partial contains 5.8S ribosomal RNA, internal transcribed spacer 2, and large subunit ribosomal RNA
Rfam family: 5.8S ribosomal RNA (bases 1-120)
Source: RNAcentral
GAUGAAGAACGUAGCGAAAUGCGAUAAGUAAUGUGAAUUGCAGAAUUCAGUGAACCAUCGAAUCUUUGAACGCACAUUGCGCCCGCCAGUAUUCUGGCGGGCAUGCCUGUCCGAGCGUCAUCUCAACCCUCGAGCCCCCCCGGGGGCUCGGCGUUGGGGACCGGCCCCGCCCCAGGGCGCGCCGCCCCCCAAAUCCAGUGGCGGUCCCGCCGCAGCCUCCCCUGCGCAGUAGCUUGCACACUCGUACCGGAGAGCGGCGCGGCCACGCCGUAAAACCCCCCGACCACGGAGCCCCGGCUCCUGAACGUUGACCUCGGAUCAGGUAGGAAUACCCGCUGAACUUAAGCAUAUCAAUAAGCGGAGGA